UGAGGAACAUGACCUUCGGCGGGGGAUAGCCGGCCCAACGGCCGGGUAAUACCGCGUACGACCACAUGGGGACAUCCCUGAGUGGUGAAAGCAGCAAUGCGCCGAUGGAGUGCCUCGCGGCCUAUCAGCUAGUUGGUGAGGUAACGGCUCACCAAGGCGGCGACGGGUAGCUGGUCUGAGAGGAUGGCCAGCCACAUUGGGACUGAGACACGGCCCAGAUCCCUACGGGG
Molecule: ribosomal RNA, 230 nt
Filed under: uncultured bacterium
Lineage: Bacteria
Description: partial 16S ribosomal RNA
Rfam family: Bacterial small subunit ribosomal RNA
Source: RNAcentral